CUUUCUUUGCUGGCGACCGGCGCACGGGUGAGUAACACGUAUCCAACCUGCCCUUUACUCGGGGAUAGCCUUUCGAAAGAAAGAUUAAUACCCGAUAGUAUAAUGAUUCCGCAUGGUUUCAUUAUUAAAGGAUUCCGGUAAAGGAUGGGGAUGCGUUCCAUUAGGUUGUUGGUGAGGUAACGGCUCACCAGGCCUUCGAUGGAUAGGGGUUCUGAGAGGAAGGUCCCCCACAUUGGAACUGAGACACGGUCCAA
RNAcentral lists this ribosomal RNA (254 nucleotides) under uncultured bacterium. RNAcentral's name for it is "partial 16S ribosomal RNA". It matches the Rfam family "Bacterial small subunit ribosomal RNA", at positions 79 to 334 of the family's 1533-position model. The record is from RNAcentral.